CUCUGGGAUAAGCCUGGGAAACUAGGUCUAAUACCGGAUAUGACCUGCCUCCGCAUGGUGGUGGGUGGAAAGUUCCGGCGGUACGGGAUGGGCCCGCGGCCUAUCAGCUUGUUGGUGGGGUGAUGGCCUACCAAGGCGACGACGGGUAGCCGGCCUGAGAGGGUGACCGGCCACACUGGGACUGAGACACGGCCCAGACUCCUACGGGAGGCAGCAGUGGGGAAUAUUGCACAAUGGGCGAAAGCCUGAUGCAGCGACGCCGCGUGAGGGAUGACGGCCUUCGGGUUGUAAACCUCUUUCAGCAGGGACGAAGCGCGAGUGACGGUACCUGCAGAAGAAGCACCGGCUAACUACGUGCCAGCAGCCGCGGUAAUACGUAGGGUGCGAGCGUUGUCCGGAAUUAUUGGGCGUAAAGAGCUCGUAGGCGGUUUGUUGCGUCGGCCGUGAAAACUUCACGCUUAACGUGGAGCCUGCGGUCGAUACGGGCAGACU
This 492-nucleotide ribosomal RNA is filed under the name Saccharothrix xinjiangensis. RNAcentral's name for it is "bacterial SSU rRNA". It matches the Rfam family "Bacterial small subunit ribosomal RNA", at positions 136 to 642 of the family's 1533-position model. The record is from RNAcentral. Lineage: Bacteria; Bacillati; Actinomycetota; Actinomycetes; Pseudonocardiales; Pseudonocardiaceae.